Long non-coding RNA from Melitaea cinxia (Glanville fritillary), 111 nucleotides. RefSeq lists it as uncharacterized. NCBI's taxonomy places the organism in Eukaryota, Metazoa, Arthropoda, Insecta, Lepidoptera, Nymphalidae. The record is from RefSeq and is a predicted model, not a curated record. The transcript is spliced from 3 exons.
CGGUCAAUUUUUGAUAUGAUAUUCAAAAAUUGUUAAGAGAGAUAAAGCUAGCGCGCGAUCUGCGCAUGCCUGCAGUUUCGGACUUACUCUUUCGCUCGGGCCACUCGGCAC